CGGUGGGCAGGCCUGCCCAGUACUGACAAUUUCCGCCCGGCACUGUAGCUGAAAAACAGACUGCCAAUACCACAAAUAGUUCCAAUGGGAAGAGGUUGAAUCAAGGAAGAGGCUGAGUGAGAAGAAUUCAGAGGACUUGAAGCAUAUGGAUAAAAGACGAAGAGACAACCAGGUUGCGUAGAGAACCCUACAGAAGUACUUUCGACGAGCAGUAGCAUCUAGACAAACA
This is a long non-coding RNA of Asterias rubens (European starfish), 229 nucleotides long. RefSeq lists it as uncharacterized. Lineage: Eukaryota; Metazoa; Echinodermata; Asteroidea; Forcipulatida; Asteriidae. The transcript is spliced from 3 exons. The record is from RefSeq and is a predicted model, not a curated record.